Molecule: ribosomal RNA, 515 nt
Filed under: uncultured bacterium
Lineage: Bacteria
Description: partial 16S ribosomal RNA
Rfam family: Bacterial small subunit ribosomal RNA
Source: RNAcentral
GAUGAACGCUGGCGGCGUGCCUAAUACAUGCAAGUCGAGCGAAUGGAUUAAGAGCUUGCUCUUAUGAAGUUAGCGGCGGACGGGUGAGUAACACGUGGGUAACCUGCCCAUAAGACUGGGAUAACUCCGGGAAACCGGGGCUAAUACCGGAUAAUAUUUUGAACUGCAUGGUUCAAAAUUGAAAGGCGGCUUCGGCUGUCACUUAUGGAUGGACCCGCGUCGCAUUAGCUAGUUGGUGAGGUAACGGCUCACCAAGGCAACGAUGCGUAGCCGGCCUGGGAGGGUGAUCGGCCACACUGGGACUGAGACACGGCCCAGACUCCUACGGGAGGCAGCAGUAGGGAAUCUUCCGCAAUGGACGAAAGUCUGACGGAGCAACGCCGCGUGAGUGAUGAAGGCUUUCGGGUCGUAAAACUCUGUUGUUAGGGAAGAACAAGUGCUAGUUGAAUAAGCUGGCACCUUGACGGUACCUAACCAGAAAGCCACGGCUAACUACGUGCCAGCCGCCGCAGUAA